Molecule: non-coding RNA, 74 nt
Organism: Potamilus streckersoni
Lineage: Eukaryota; Metazoa; Mollusca; Bivalvia; Unionida; Unionidae
Source: the annotation of a GenBank genome assembly
GCUACAGUAGCUCAAGUGGUUAGAGCGUUCGUCUCGGAUGCGGGAGGUCGAGGGUUCUAAUCCCGGUUGAGGCA